Argentina anserina (silverweed cinquefoil) is the source of this 2437-nucleotide RNA transcript. RefSeq lists it as uncharacterized. The transcript has 9 exons. The record is from RefSeq and is a predicted model, not a curated record. Lineage: Eukaryota; Viridiplantae; Streptophyta; Magnoliopsida; Rosales; Rosaceae.
AUAAAACCCACCUCCCGGAGUGUAUUUUGUUUUGUAUGCCAAUGUGGUCUGGUCGCCUCUGAAACUGCCCUGUUUCUGAUUCCAACUCUUGAAGAAAACGGCAGACUCGCCUUCUUGCAUGUGUUGGGCAUUCAUGUAAGAUGGAGAGAAGAUAAUAUAUGAGAGAGGGGUAAGCAUCUCUUGUUUCGAGACAUUAAAGCAACAGAUUAGUGAGGUUGUCUCAGAUGUGUACAAAAUGCGAUGAUCGUUGCAGUUGCAGAAAUGCUCAACUAAGUUUGGAGGAAAAAAAGAAUGCCGGGGAUUCAAGCAACUUAGUUUUUCCAAGACGCUUUUCCCAGCUGUCAGUAAUUAGUAUAAUGUCUGAAAGUGCUGCACCCGAUCUUGUUUACAAGAGGAAGAGAUUACCAGAAAAUUGUGCCACUAUACGUCCAGGAUGUGAUGCGAAAUCCCUGAGAACUGGUGAUUGCCUUUCGUGUAUCCAUUCAGAUGCUCCUUCACUUGCUGGUAAGGAUCGAUAUAUUCAUGCUCAAAGAGGGGAACUGUCAGCUAUUAGUGUAACGUCUGAAAGUGUUGCACCUGAUCUUGUGUACAAGAGGAGGAAGUUACAGGAAAACUCUGUCCCCAUACUUUCAGCAUGUGAUGUGAAAAACCCGAGAACUGGUGAUUGCUAUUCAUUUAUACAUACUGAUGCUCGUUCACAUGCUGGUAAGGAACAGUAUGAUCAUUCUCAAAAAGGUUCAGCAAUUAGUAUGUCUGAAAGUUCUGCACCUAAUCUCGUAUACGAGAGGAAGAAGUUACAAGAAAACUGUGUUGCCAAACUUUCAGCUUGUGAUAUGCUAAACCCGAGAACUGGUGAUUGCCUUUCAUUUGUACAUACUGAUGCUCCUACACUUUCUGGUAAGGACCAAUAUUUUCAUUCUCUAAAAGUGAAUCAGGAUGGACCAUGUGUAUGCAAUGGAGAGUCUGUUAUAAAAUCACAGUCUUUUCUUGGGUUAUCUGUUGAUGAAGAAUUAGUUUCUGAUAAAGCACCUAAAGCUAGUGUUCCAAAAGGUUUAGAGGUAGACAGUGUAAACGAUAGUUGUUCAUCAUCAAAGUCAAAUAUGGAGAACCUUUCAACCUCCAAUAAGACGGAAGUAGAUGAAACAGCUGAGUGCUCCUCAUCUAGUGCAAUAGUUAUGGAAGCUGUGGGAGACCUGUCUGAAAAGGAUUUCUGCAUCUCUAUUCUUAAAAGUCAUGGACUGCUCGGGGAAAUUCAAAACACUAGGAGUUGUGGAUCUGCUGAAGGCAGUGAUACCAGUAGCAGCAAGACCUGUCGAAGGUCAUGCAAAUUUUGUAAUCGUUCAGAAACCUCUCUGAAACUGCUGAUUUGUGAUAAUUGUGAAGAGGCAUUUCACAUGUCAUGCUGUCAGCCACGGAUAAAGAAAGUACCUAUAGAUGAAUGGUUCUGUUAUUCCUGCUUGACAGAGAAACAUACACUUUUAAAAGAGAGAGUUACUAGAAAGUUUCCAAAUAUCACUAGUGUCAUGAGUAGAAGUGCAUCAUCGAAGGAUGAUGUAAAUCCCAUAUUACUGAUGCUGAGAGACACUGAGCCAUAUAGAACUAGUGUUCGAGUGGGCAAAGGUUUUCAAGCGGAUGUUCCUGACUGGUCUGGUCCAGUGAACAAUGAAAACAUUGGUGAGCCAGCGGAGUUACAUCCUUCAGAGUAUGCUAGACUGCAUGAGUUCAAUGCCAGCAAACCCACAAAAGUUCGCUCUAUAAGUAAUUGGAUUCAAUGCCGAGAAGUUGUGGAUCCUGAAAGUGGAAUAAGAUGCGGAAAGUGGCGCAGGGCUCCUCUUUUCGAAGUUCAAACAAAAGAUUGGGACUGCUUCUGCUCUAUAUUGUGGGAUCCAAGCCAUGCUGAUUGUAAUGUGCCUCAGGAAUUGGAAACAGAUGAAGUACUAAAGCAACUGAAGUAUGUUGAGACGCUGAGACCCCGGCUCUCUGCUCAACAGCACAAUUUGGGUCGCGCCAACAGCACUGGUGAUUUACAAAACCGCAGAGUAGAUACAAAAAGUAUACAAACUCUUUGAUAUGGUGAGAACUCUUUGAGAGUGUUCAUACAGAUCUGCCUUGUCCUUGUACAUCCAUUUCAUAUCAAGUACAAUGGCUUUUGCGCCGCCUCCAUUUUUUGUGGUGUUUGAUAUUCAUCUUUUAGUGGGUGACUUAAAUGUGGAGUAGAUAGUUGCAAAGAAGAACAAUGGAUGAAAAAACUGUGCUUGAUUCACAGCAAGUGUGAAUUACACACAGGAGUUUAGGCUAUCUCGGGGACUUGUGCUUGAGGAAUUCAAAAUUGAAUGGAUUCAGGUCUCCCCCAGCAACAACAAAUAUGGAAUUGAUUGGUAGAGGGGUAGAGUAAUAGUCUUGCUUUAAUUGAAAAUUUUGAGGCUUGUCUGGACUA